AGUUUGAUCAUGGCUCAGAUUGAACGCUGGCGGCAUGCCUUACACAUGCAAGUCGAACGGUAACGGGCCUUCGGGUGCCGACGAGUGGCGAACGGGUGAGUAAUGCAUCGGAACGUACCUUUCAGUGGGGGAUAACGUAGCGAAAGUUACGCUAAUACCGCAUAUUCUGUGAGCAGGAAAGCAGGGGAUCGCAAGACCUUGCGCUGAUUGAGCGGCCGAUGUCAGAUUAGCUAGUUGGUGAGGUAAAGGCUCACCAAGGCGACGAUCUGUAGCGGGGUCUGAGAGGAUGAUCCGCCACACUGGAACUGAGACACGGUCCAGACUCCUACGGGAGGCAGCAGUGGGGAAUUUUGGACAAUGGGGGCAACCCUGAUCCAGCCAUGCCGCGUGAGUGAAGAAGGCCUUCGGGUUGUAAAGCUCUUUCGGCCGGGAAGAAAUCGCAUGGGUUAAUACCCUGUGCGGAUGACGGUACCGGCAUAAGAAGCACCGGCUAACUACGUG
This 501-nucleotide ribosomal RNA is filed under the name uncultured bacterium. RNAcentral's name for it is "bacterial SSU rRNA". It matches the Rfam family "Bacterial small subunit ribosomal RNA", at positions 10 to 507 of the family's 1533-position model. The record is from RNAcentral.